AUGGUUGUGCUUUCAGGUGAGCCUCAAAGGAGGAUCCUCGAAUCAGUCUCUCGUCUGACGACCGUCAGCUGCUCCUACUGCCACCAACUUGUCCCCUGCCCAAGCCUGUCACUGUGCCGCCUCUCAGCAGGUGAUGAAAAAGACAUAAAUAUAUUUUUAUAUGCUGAGGAGAUGGUACCCAGAGAUACCAACAUUACAGGAGGAAGAGGGGUGAGUGAUAGGGCAGAGCCUGAGGAGGACAGGCCCACCAAACGUGAAGUAUCAGCCUUGGAUGAGGAGAUUCUUCUAGCCAAAGUGCCGGAGGACCUGACAGAUGUGGCCUAAACUGUGAAGAAGGUGUUCUCCCAGGCUCGAGGAUCAGAGGUGGACUGUCCAAGGUACAUCCAGCUUGGGGCUUGGGUGGGUUGCCCUGCUCAGUCCCCAGUGGCCAAUAUGGCAAGACUUAUUCAAUCAAGGCAGCCAAAGACAAGACUUCUCCUCUUGAACCUUGACAAGAAAGAAAAUGAGGGGUGACCGGGGAAAGGGGUGGGAUAGCAGGCAGCUCUGAGGACCUGCAAAGGCUGACUGUAUGUAAUGGCACCAGUGCCAGUACAUGGGUGGUUUCUUCAGCAUCACCUUGCAGCCCUUUUAUGUGAGUGGAGCAGGGACAGUGUUGUACUGAUAUGGCAGGAAAGACACAAGUCUUGAGAGAAAGUGAGUGGCCAUGAGUUGGAUUGUCCACAAGGCUGACCAUGGCACUGUGUGGCACUGGGGACAUGGUACUUUGAGGCUGAGAGGGAGUAAGGGAGUGAGCGAGGAAGGCUCGGAAGUUUGUGAUCAGAGGUGCUACUGCAGAUGUGGACAGACAUGGUCUGGAGGGGACCCAGGAGAUAUGACCAAGGAGGCGGAGGGGCUUCCAGAGAGGAUGUGGCAGGGCUAAGAGUCCCUGCAUCUCAGAUGUAGGAGUCCCCACCCUACCAGCUUAUUCUGUCUUUGGGACACAAGAAGCCAGACCUGGCAAAGGGGGAUCUUUUCCAAAUAUUAAGCAAUCAGCCAGAGUUCUCUCCCUGCGUUGAAGAGUGGAGUAUGUUGAAAAUGUGCACCUCUUUAUAAACAGGGGAAGAAAGAGAAAAUAGUUGGGUGGGAUCAGGGUGCUCUUAAUCCAGGGGCUGGAGGGAGGGAAAGGGCUGCUCCAGGUUUGAUGAGGCUCUGGCUCUGCUGGUAACAUUUCCUGAAAGGCAUGCCUCCUCCCACUUAUACACCCUCACAGCCACCCCCACCCUACAGUGCAGAGCCGCCCCCCCCUCCAUCUUCCUCCCCAGUCUUCCUUCUUCACUCCUGGUGACCCUGCCUUCAGCUGCCUUCUCCUCAGCCAUCCCUGUGCCCCCCUUUCAGCGACCUCCCCAACUCCUAAAAGCCCAAAGCCAAUGAUGAGGAAAGAGAAGGAUGAGUUCUGGAAUGGGAAGGGAAGCUCAGGAUCUGAGGGCAGUGAUUUUUGGCUCCUCUUUGACUUCCAUCAGGCCGCAGAGGGUUGGGAACUAGACUGUCUCCUCCUUCCUUUUGCAUGGACACACAGGCAUACGGGUGUACAUAAACAUUCACAUCCAUAGAGGCACAGCCACGCACACAUGGUUGGGCACAGGGCAGGCACCUCAGGCAAGAGGACACACACAGGGACAUAUAUAUACCUGAAUACACAUGCAGAAAUGCACGCACGACUCUCCAUGGUGGGGUGUAGGAGACCCCAGGGUUUCCAAGCGCCAACUAUUCAUGAUUCUCCUUUUGUCAUUGAGUAGAAGUUCCCAACCAAGACAGGAACACACACCUACUAGACUCUGAUUUAGGCAGCUUUUCUGUAUCUAAUAAUAAGAGAUUUCAAAAAGUUGCAUGUGGGCAUGUGAAGCCGCCACCAUGUCUCGCCUGGACCACAGAGUUUGCACAUAUGUGAAAACCCCACAGACGUGGCCUGUGCACCAACAUACGGCUUAGCCUCCUCAUGUUUCCCUGUGUGCCUUUGGAAGCUACUGCCCCCUGUGUGACCCAUUUUCGGCUCUCAGACUGAAUGAUUGGGCCCCUUCCAAAUAGUUUGUCAUUAGACGGGGGCAACUGAAACCUACGGCAUCUAUGUGGAAAUCUAUGGUUGCUUGUGGAACAGUUAGCAUUACACUGUUCUUUUCUUAGUCAUGUGGCAUGAUUCCAUGUCACAUCAGGGAGAAUUUCUUGCUUCUUCUAGAAAAAAUAUAUCAAUGCUUGGGAUAGGGGUGUGUGUGUGUGUGUGUGUGUGUGUGUGUGUGUGUGUUAUUGUUUAAAAACAAACUCUCAGCCUAGAGUCUAAGAUUUUUGGAAUUAGAGCAAGUUAAAAUUAAUAAUAAAGCAAUUAUUUUCAAGGGAAACACAGUACUUACAGCAGUAGGUUGUUGGGGGGCCAUUUGAAACUAUGGAAAGAACCCUCCUUCGCUGGGCUUCAAAGCUUUGAGUCUGGGUUCUAGAUCUGCAGUUUGGCUGUAAGAUCUUUAGCUAUUGUCUUAAUUUCUCUGAGUUUUGUACUUUCCUUACUUACAAAACAGAACUUAAUAUGUUUUGCAACUAGAGGCUCCUAGAAGAGUGAAUGAACAAACGUGUAGGAAAAUUAUUUGUUCCUAACAAAGUACUACACAGAAGGGACACCUGGGUGGCUCAGCAGUUGAGUGUCUGCCUUUGGCUCUGGGCAUGAUCCUGGUUUGGGGAUUGAGUGCCCCAUCGGGCUCCCUGUAAGGAGCCUGCUUCUCCCUCUGCCUAUGUCUCUGCCUCUCUCUGUGUCUCUCAUGAAUAAAUAAAUAAAAUCUUUAAAAAAAGUACUACACAGAAGUCAAGGUGUUACCUAUGGUCACAGGGGUAGCAAAGUACCACUGGGGCCAUCAGGUGUCUUCCACUCCCUCUACCUACAGCUGAGAAAGUCUUGCUAAAUGUAAAUCUGAGGUCACGCUUCCCUCACUCUAGUGAAACAUUUCUUUCUCUGGUC
This 2980-nucleotide long non-coding RNA is filed under the name Canis lupus familiaris (dog). Its description in RNAcentral is "lncRNA (ENSCAFG00030007168.1)". The record is from RNAcentral. Lineage: Eukaryota; Metazoa; Chordata; Mammalia; Carnivora; Canidae.